GGACCGGGCCGUGCGGUCGCGUGGCGUUGUGCCGGAAGGCAUUGCCAUGAGGAAAGUCCGGGCUUCGCAGGGCAGGAUAGCGGAUAACAUCCGCCGAAGGCGACUUCAGGGAAAGUGCAACAGAAAUAUACCGCCUGCGUUACCCCCGCAGGUAAGGGUGGAAAGGUGAGGUAAGAGCUCACCGGGCGCACUGGCGACUUUGCGCCCCUGUAAACCCUAUCCGAAGCAACACCUGUAUGGGAGGCGCAUCAGCGCCGCGCUUGCCCGGCGCAUACGAGAGUAUUCCCGCUGGUGGCUAGAGCCGUGCGGCAACGUACGGUCGAGAUAGAUGACCGCAGGGCCUGCGUGAAGAGCGCAGGCUGCACAGAACCCGGCUUAUAGGCCCGAUCCCUAC
Molecule: RNase P RNA, 394 nt
Filed under: Bacillota bacterium
Lineage: Bacteria; Bacillati; Bacillota
Also listed under: 1 other name
Description: RNase P RNA component class A
Rfam family: Bacterial RNase P class A
About the family: Ribonuclease P (RNase P) is a ubiquitous endoribonuclease, found in archaea, bacteria and eukarya as well as chloroplasts and mitochondria. Its best characterised activity is the generation of mature 5'-ends of tRNAs by cleaving the 5'-leader elements of precursor-tRNAs.
Source: RNAcentral